Molecule: ribosomal RNA, 497 nt
Filed under: uncultured bacterium
Lineage: Bacteria
Description: partial 16S ribosomal RNA
Rfam family: Bacterial small subunit ribosomal RNA
Source: RNAcentral
GAUGAACGCUGGCGGCGUGCCUAAUACAUGCAAGUCGAGCGAACGGACGAGAAGCUUGCUUUUCUGAUGUUAGCGGCGGACGGGUGAGUAACACGUGGAUAACCUACCUAUAAGACUGGGAUAACUUCGGGAAACCGGAGCUAAUACCGGAUAAUAUUUUGAACCGCAUGGUUCAAAAGUGAAAGACGGUCUUGCUGUCACUUAUAGAUGGAUCCGCGCUGCAUUAGCUAGUUGGUAAGGUAACGGCUUACCAAGGCAACGAUGCAUAGCCGACCUGAGAGGGUGAUCGGCCACACUGGAACUGAGACACGGUCCAGACGCCUACGGGAGGCAGCAGUAGGGAAUCUUCCGCAAUGGGCGAAAGCCUGACGGAGCAACGCCGCGUGAGUGAUGAAGGUCUUCGGAUCGUAAAACUCUGUUAUUAGGGAAGAACAUAUGUGUAAGUAACUGUGCACAUCUUGAAGGUACCUAAUCAGAAAGCCACGGCUAACUAAGUG